This 412-nucleotide ribosomal RNA is filed under the name uncultured Sphingomonas sp. RNAcentral's name for it is "bacterial SSU rRNA". It matches the Rfam family "Bacterial small subunit ribosomal RNA", at positions 66 to 524 of the family's 1533-position model. Lineage: Bacteria; Pseudomonadati; Pseudomonadota; Alphaproteobacteria; Sphingomonadales; Sphingomonadaceae. The record is from RNAcentral.
ACGAAGGCUUCGGCCUUAGUGGCGCACGGGUGCGUAACGCGUGGGAAUCUGCCCUUGGGUUCGGAAUAACAGUUAGAAAUUACUGCUAAUACCGGAUGAUGACGAAAGUCCAAAGAUUUAUCGCCCAGGGAUGAGCCCGCGUAAGAUUAGCUAGUUGGUGAGGUAAAGGCUCACCAAGGCGACGAUCCUUAGCUGGUCUGAGAGGAUGAUCAGCCACACUGGGACUGAGACACGGCCCAGACUCCUACGGGAGGCAGCAGUGGGGAAUAUUGGACAAUGGGCGAAAGCCUGAUCCAGCAAUGCCGCGUGAGUGAUGAAGGCCUUAGGGUUGUAAAGCUCUUUUACCAGGGAUGAUAAUGACAGUACCGGGAGAAUAAGCUCCGGCUAACUCCGUGCCAGCAGCCGCGGUAAU